GCAGCUGUUCUAGGCCAUAGCAAAGAUCCAUACAGCUCCAUCUUCUCUCAGCAGCGGCAAGUAGUGGAUACCUAUGAGAAACAGGGUUUUCUGCCUAUGUGGAAGAAAGACUACCCUGUUUCUGCAGUCUGAUAGCAUAAAUCCAGCCAGAUCUCUCAAGUUUCUGAUGGCUUCUUUCCUUCGUGAAACUUUUCUCCACACUAUCAUAUUAUGUCCCUUAAUAUAUUUUAUGCAAACUUACCACUUUCAGAGUGGCCAAAAUAAAAUGUGACACAAAGGGAGUGUUCCUGUA
This is a non-coding RNA of Agelaius phoeniceus (red-winged blackbird), 292 nucleotides long. Lineage: Eukaryota; Metazoa; Chordata; Aves; Passeriformes; Icteridae. The record is from RefSeq and is a predicted model, not a curated record.